UUACCUUAUCGUUUUAUUAGGUUGUGCUGGUUCCAAAAUUAUAGAAAUAAAUGCAUCAUUUGUGCUUCAUCUAUUUCAUUUUACUUUUAACCCCUAUACCAAAAAAAGAUAGACAUAUCAUUCAGUACUUUGCAGCUCAACCACUCUAAAUUCUUGCAAGAAUAUAUUCCUUUGCUAAAUAAUAUGUGUCAAAACGUUUACACUUGACGACACCAUUAAAGUUGCGGAUCAAAAAACGACAUAAUACAAAAGGUUUUAGUAAAACAUGAAGGUACAUAAGCAUGUUCUCUAGAAUUUGCAGAUUCAUUCACAAUAAGGCUAAGCAUUUCAGUAAAAUUUCUUCUCUUUCAAGCAUUCAGCAGUUUCCUUGACGCUUUCAGCCAGGGGAAUGAAUUCAAUACCCAAUUUUUUGGUUCUUUCGACGUUAACCUGGUACAUUGGCGUAAAUGGCUUAUCAUCAGCACACCUGGAGAGUCUAACCAAAAACUUUGAGCCAAGAAAAGAAUUUCAAGUAAACCAUAUGAAAUCAGCUACUAGUCACUCAACUUUAUGUACUUGAAAAACACGGCACGUCAAAAUCAAAGAUGCACAUUUCACAAAGAUAUUACACACGUAGAAGAAACUUACUUUUCUGGAAGCUUCAUUGUAGGGUAAAGCUCGCGUAAUAUCUUUACUAUCUCAGAGAAGUGUGCAACUGACUCCACCAUUAAAUAUCUACCAUUAGCUGAAGGGUUUUCAAAUGCUAGAAUAUGCGCGAGGGCGACAUCUUUCACAUUAACCCAACCAAAUGUAUAAUUUGGGUAAGUUUCAGAACCUGCAGUAAAGCAAAAUGAAACUUUACUAAUGAAUUCCAAUAUAUUGUAAUAACAUGAACAGGACAAAAAUAAAACAACUAAGUUCAGAUGACGAGAUCAAAGACAAAUCAGCUGCAUUAAGAUAAAGCAUACCAUUUAGCAAUUGUACGAUGGCAGCAGCACUUGUAUUAAGUGUUGGUUGCAACAAACUGCCUAUAACCAUCCCUGGGUUUAUUGUAACCAUAUCGAAAGUUUUCUCUUUCACAAACUUCCACGCAGCAUCCUCAGCUAAUGUCUUUGAAAGCACAUACCAGAGCUGGUAAAAGCAACAAAAGAGGAGUCCAUAAUUAGCUCCAAAACCCCCAAAAAGAGCUAUCACCAGGAUCUCCCCCAAAAGAAGAUACGAGAAUAAAGAUACUUGACAGAAAAUAGUAGAACAAAGUUUAAAUAUGUGAAAUCUAAAACAGAAAUGAUUGAGCGCCAGUUAAGAUGAUUAUAAUGAGCAUUUCUGAUUUAAAUGUUUCGACAAGAAUUUGUACGAUGUAAACGGAACCACUUUACAUAACAAAUAAAUGGUUUAAUUGUUAAAGGAAAUGGAAUAUUCAGGUGAUACUAGAACUGAAUUCAACUGUGUUCAAAUUUCAAACCUGGCAGUUUGUGACAGUGGAGCUUUACCAUCACUUCCCUCCGCCAUAAAUACUUCUAUAUAAUAUUGGAGAAUUUGAACCAUUUUAGACAAAAGAAAAAAUACAAUCCUAAAUCAUGCCUGGUGAGUUUUGUAAUCAGAAACAUUCAGUUCUAAUCAGACUAAAAAGUUUGCGAAACGAAAAUAUCAAAUUGGCGUCAAACCCCCAACUUCUAUUAGAGAAGCAAUGCACUUCACCACUGGACUAGAAAGCCAAGUACUCUACCGCUGAGUUAGCAACCCGAAGAAAAUAUCGAAAAUAUUGUGUAGAUCCAAUCCAAAGAAAAAGAAAUAAAGAGAUUAGCACUAGUUGUCAAGUAGUUCUAUUUUAUAUUGCUCAGGGGAUUAUGCAAACAACAGUGCUGCAGACGGAAAACGAAAAGUCAAGUAAAGCACCUGUGAUUCUCUGCAAAAGUCAGGAUCUGACCACCAUGUCUCAUCAACCACCACUUCAGGGGUUCGUGGCUUGCCAUUGAAAACAACUGCUGCAACAGAUGAUGUCAAAACCACUCUUCUAACAGAUGGUGUCUUCGCAACUGAUUCAAGAACAUUAAGUGUCCCCUUCAGUGCAGGAUCAAUCAUCUCCGCCUGCAUGUUAACAAUAGGGCUAAUACAUUACAUCAACAUAUGGAAAAACCAAAAACUAGAACAGAUAAAUACGACCAACAGAUCCAAGAUGACUACCAUCAGUUUCGUAGGUAAGAUUUUCUUACAUUUAACUAAUAAAUUUCCAAAAGAAUAAGCUUGCAAAGGUAGACAUCAAAACCUAUGUUGCUCAGACUCUUCAAAAAUGUUGUCGCACCCAUGUCAGAUCCUCCAAAACACACUAGCUUUGAAGUAUCCAACAUGCACCAGGGGACAUUUUUAUAGAGUCUCAGCAACAUAGGUCAAAGCCAAAUUAAUCAAGAAAACCGAGUGAGGAACCUGUGGAUCUUUGACUUCAAGGUAACAAGGAGAUGCUGUAUGAAAUACACCUUCACACCCCUCAACAACAGCAUCAAAGGAACCUUCUUCCAGUAGGUUUGCUUUGAACAAGUGGAGUCUCUCCUUAGCUCCAUCAAGGGAUGUCAAGUGAUCUGUCUUUUUUUUAUCAUCUGCAAGUGGAUUUCAAAUAAAAAAAAAUAUAUUAUUACAUUAAUAGAACACAAUAUAAAAGCACUUAAACAGAGUCAAGCUAGCUUACAAACACUUUCGCUUUAUCUACACGUUUAGGGCAUAAUCAAACCAUCUUAGGCUAACUCAAUACUAAAAGAAUUAUUACAUCAGGUUGUAAGUCAAGCCUCUCUACUUCUACAAGGUACGAGUAAGGUCUGUGUACAACUGUACAUUCUACCCUCCCCAAACCCUACAUUGUGCAAUUACACCGAGUAUGGUGUUGUUGUUCUUACCAUCCAACAAUUAACAAAUACUAUUAUUAAACCAGUCAUUCUCAGAAAACUAUUUCAACAGUAAAAUAAAAAUAUUUAUAACAAACUCAGAAAGCAAAAAUUAAAUAUCAACAAUUUCAAUAUUCUCAAACUUGUAGUACUCUUCAAUUUUUUUAAAAAAAAAAAUUAUCCCUAGUUUAUCUAAAAGAACUAAAACUAUACAAAUUGAACACCAAAUCAUUCAAAUAUGUGUAUGCGAUGAAAAACAAAAAGAUCACAAAUGAUCAACUGCAGGUGGAUUCAAAUAAAUAAAAAAAUUAUUACAUCAAUAGAACACUAUUUAAAAGCAAUAAACAGGGUCAAACUAGUUUACAAUCACUUUCGCUUUAUCUACACGUUUAGGGCAUAAACAAGCCAUCUUAGUCUAACUCAACACUAAGUAAAUUACUACAUUACAUAGCUAUUUCUGGAAUAAACAGGGUCAAACUAGCUUACAAUCACUUUCGCUUUAUCUACACGUUUAGGGCAUAAACAAGCCAUCUUAGUCUAACUCAACACUAAGUAAAUUACUACAUUACAUAGCUAUUUCUGGAAUAGCCUCUCUACAUCUACGAGCUAAGAUCCGCCACACUCUACCCACUCCGACCCCACCUUGUCGUACUACACUUAGUAUGUACGUUGUUGUUGACUGUAAUUAACAUCCAAUUAUUAAACAAAUAUAAAAUUAUCAAACCAGUCAUUCUCAAAAAAAAACAUUAAAAAAUUAGCCCUAGCUUAUCUGAAAAAAACUAAAAUUACAGAAAUUGAACAACAAAUCAUUCAAAUGUUCAUAUGCGAUGAAAACACAAAAAUCACAAAUGAUCAGAUAACUUCAGAAAUUCAUUUUUCACAAUUCUGUUCAAGGGAAAAUGAACUCUUUUUUUUUUUUUACAGAGAAGGAUAAGAGUACAAACUGGGAUCGCGAACAGUGGCUUUGACUGUAUAACCACGCUGAAGCAAAAAUUUGACUAGCCAUGAAGCUAUGUAGCCUGAAGCUCCUGUUACACUUACACACACUGUUUUCGUCGCCAUUUUUGUGAGCUCUCUCUAUCUAUCUGAGCGGUGUGAAAGCCGACAAAAGUUAUAUUUAUAGGGAAGGAAAUAUUUUCCGUCCGUUUUAUGUUACUCCGACCGACACAUUGUGUACGUUCCACUACAUUAUAAAGUGGUGUAUUUGACUGAUACAUAGCGUAAAGUGAUGUAUAUUACAGGUACAUUGAGUAAGUAAUGUAAUCGAUCGAUACAUUGCGUAAAAUGAUGUAGCCGACUGAUACAUCACGUAAAGUAGAGAUUUUUUUAAAUGGUAUGGAAUUUUAAAGAACUAAUAAAAUAAAUUGUAUAUUUAAGUAAUUUUUCCAUCAAUAUACCUUUUAACUUGGUCUCAUUUCAUAUUUAAAUACUUUAACUUACACAAAUAAACACUUGAACUUAUAUAAAAUUAAAUAUAUACACAUAAAUUCUAUGUGGCAUAAUACACAUAAGACACCAUAUAGACUUCACAUUAUCAUAUAAGAUACCACAUAAAAUAUGUGUAUCUAUUUAUUUAAUUUUAUAUAAAUUUAAGUAUCAGCUAAAAGGAUUGACAAAAGGAACCUAAUGUCGAAUACUAGGUAUUUUGGUCUCUUACGUACUAUAGUUUAUUAAAUGGUAUACACUUCAAUUUUGCUUGGUAUGUAUAAUAAAUGAAAGGUAAAAUGAUCGGGAUGACUAUUAUAUUUGGCUCCGUUUGUCAGUUGGACCCUUGUAUUCAUGAUUUUGUCAAUUGAACUUAAAAUGCAAUACUUUAAAUCUCUUUCUUAUUCUAUGUGUGUAAGUGUAACACAACUGCUUACACAUGAAAUUUCACAUCAUUUUGUAGAAUUUCAUGUCAUUUUUAAUGCCACAUAAUAAAUUAAAUGUUAAAAAUAAAAAAUAAAUUUGCACAUUAAAAUUUUCAAUAUCAUGUUUCAUAUUUGCUCAUAAUUGAGCACUAAAUUCAUGUCAAAUUGGUCUAAUUCUUCCUAUUUUACAUGAAAUUUUUUACAGCUAAAGCUUCCCAACACAAACCCCAAUAAUUUUCCAUCAUAAUUUUGAAUUAAUUUCAUAAAUUCACAAAAUUCAUUUGUUAUUCUUCAAGCUUUUUCAUGAAAUUUAUCAACUUUCCAGUAUACACCAUUACUCUUCAAGAUUUCAAAAUUAUCUAAACUUCAAUAUUUCACAAACAAAAUUUGAAAACCCAAAUUUUAAAAGUGUGUAAAUCAAUCAAGAUUCAUAGAGAAGAAAUUUGAAUUUUAAAUUUAAAGAAACUAAUGGUUGAGAUAAGAGAUUUGGUUGGGUGGGGUGAGGGAUAGGGGGUGGGUGUUAAGAAGAAGAAGAAGAAGGGGGUUGGGUAGGGUGGGGUGGUGGGUGGUUUCAAGGAAGAAGGAGAGGGUGGGGGUAGGGGGCUGAAGGAAGAAUAAAGUUGCAGGCGAGGGGGAUUGGGGCUGAUUGGUUGAUUUUAAAUUAUUUUUUUAAUGAUUGUUAAUAUAAAAAAUAUAUAAUCAAUCACUUUAAGGCGCGUGCAAUCAAGUAUUUUUCCAAUUCAACAAUAUUAGUACCACAUAAGUUCGGUCAAUGGUCAGAUGUGUUUAAAAUAUUGCGUUUUAGUAAGUUUAAGGGUUCAAUUGGCAAAGUCGUGAGUAUAAGGGUUCAACUGACAAACAAAGUUAAUACAAGGAUCUCUCAAGUUAUUCCGCCUAAAUAAAAUAGAAAUAACUUUUCCUUGAAAAAAUGUCUUUACAAAGACAAAUUUAGCUCUAAAAAGUUUGAUAAAAAAAAUAAGGGAAAACUAACUAACUAGUCAAUAUUCCUAACAUAAUUAUUAAAAAUAUCUAUAGUUUGAAAUAAUUGUUAAAAUUGUCAAAAUGUCAAUAUUUUAACAAAUAAAGUGUAUCCUAAUAUAAUUCAUUUAUCUUCCUUUUAUUUCUCAACUUGGGCCCACCUGUGACUAAAUUUAACUUCAUUAUUUUUGAAAAAGAAAAAAAAAAGACUUUAUUGUCCACUUUUCUCUCUCAAAUUUUUACCCACAUUCUCUCCUUUCUCCCUCUUUCUCACGAUUUUUAUCCAUACUCCCUCACCUCAAUUCCUCUAUUUUUCUAAGAAAUUUCAAUAAUUUUCAAAAGAUUUUUAACCUUUGAUACAGAUAAAUACAUUGUCAUGAAGUGUUUUUUUUUAAUUAUAUUCUAUUUUUCUAUGUUUUCGUCUGAAACUAUUUAGGUUAUUGUGUGUUCUUGUGUUUUUCAAUUUCCCCGUUUUCAGUUAGGAAUUAGAUAAGGGAAAAACACAAAUAUUGCAAUCCAAUGUUUGAUUCAAAGAGGACUAUCAGAGGUAUCAUAUAUAAUCAUCAACUUUUUGGGGAUUUUUCCUCCAAAAAUGUAGGCUCUACGGUUAAAAUGGCUCAAGAGAGGAGAUCUAAAUUUCUUCAUGAUUCUAUCCGCGUUCAAGUUCAAGAUAGCAAUGUCAGGUUCAAGAUAGAAAUGUCAGGGUAAAGACACUAUUAAUAAAAAUAAAAUAAAAUUUGGGUGCAGAAGAUUUCGAAAAACAUGAUGAAGACCAAGGUGAAGAACAAUUUCCUAUUAGUUUGUUUUAUAUUUUUAAUUUUUUUUAGAAUUUUGUAUUAUUUCUUAAUUUGUAUUCAAACCAUUAUGUAUGCUAUUAAUAUUUGUAUUCAUUCAAAAUCUCAUGUUGCAUAGUCCAUGAAUCUUGUAUUUGUUUCUAAUUUGUAUUCAUCCUAAAGGUAUGCUAACUAGUUAUGUAUUUUAUUUAUAGGAAGAACAACUUUCUAUUAGUUUGUUUUGUUUUUUUUUUUUUUUCUUCAGAAUUUUGUAUCAUUUCUCGAUUUGUAUUCAAACCAGUAUGUAUGCUAUUAAUAUUUGUAUUUAUUCAAAAUCUCACGCUGCAUAGUUUUUGAAUCUUGUAUUUGUUCCUAAUUUAUAUUCAUUCCUAAGGUAUACCAACUAGUUAUGUAUUUUAUUUAAGAAUGAUUACAACAAUUAUUCAUUUAUUCCUUUUCAGUUUUAUUUUCACUUUUCCAUCAUAUUAUUUUUGUAUUUUAUAUAUCAUUUAUACAAAAUACAAUAUAAAAACUAGAAUGAAUACAAAUACAAAUAAUAUACAUAUUGGAAUGAAUACAACUUAGGAAAGGAAACAGGAUUCUAAAGAGAAAAAUAAAUACACAGUGAAAAAAAUACAUGAAUACAAAUAUAUUUCUUAAAUAACUUCAGAUUCAUUUGACAUACCUAUUGGAAUGAAUACGAACUAAUAAAGAAAUACAAGUUUCAUUAUACAAAAUACAUCAUGAAAACUAGAAUGAAUACAAAUACAAAUGGUAUGCAUAUUGGAAUGAAUACGAUUUAAUAAAGGAUACAAAAUUUUGAUAAAUAAAAUAAAUACAUUGUGAGAAAAGCAUGCCAAAUAACAGAUAAAACUAUAGGUGUUCAAAUUUGUAAAUUUUAAAAAAUCAAAUUUAAUAGAUAAAACUCUAAGGUACUAUUAUAAAGUUUCAUAACAAUAACUAGUUUUGAAAGACAAGGCCAAAUAAUGGCCUUUAGGAAGAAGGAAGAGACCACCUAUUUUAGGUCCCAUAAUCUUUUGUAGUGGAAGUAACGAAGAUUUUCAGCAAGUUAACCUAAUUUGAAAUAUUCCAUCCCUUGAUUUUCUCUAGUUUGUUAUUUCUUAAUUAUAUUAUGUUAAGUUAAAUAAAGAAAAAAAAAUACAUAAAUCAAUCCAUAACAAACUAAAAUAUUGACAUUUUUAAUAAAUACUGAAAGUGUGGCUAAGGAGUCCUAUUAAAUGUUAAAAUAUUGUUAUUUUAAAAAAAUUCUCAAAAAAUAAUGCUUCAAAAAAGUUAGGUAGUGGCUUUUAUAGUUGGGGAUAUAAAGGAGUGAUUAUUUUAUCUUAUGUAGUUAUCAUAUUGGACUUUUUUUACAGUUUAAAAUAAGUAAUUAAAUAGUAAGAUGUUUAAGAGAGUUGUUAAAAUUUCUUCUAUUUUAUCUUUUAUUUAUAAUUUUUUAGGUUAUAAUUUCGAAAGAGCUAAUUGUUCAUAUUGAUAAUUUUACUUUAAAUUAUUUUAUAUUUUCAAGAAUAGUUUGAGGAUAACUAAAAGGGCAAAAGUGGAAAGUGAUGUUCAAUUUAUGUCCUAAACUUAUUUUUUCCCUUAAUGAUAUGCAUUAAUUCCCUGAACAAUUCACUUAUUUUGAAAUGGAUGAAGUAAUAAAGAACAAUAACAAAGAUUUUUUUUUUUGGAUAAUAAAGGAUUUAUUCAUUAAAAAUAGUUAAGAUGUUGUAAACAUAUUUAUAUUAAGGUGAAUAUCAGAGAUUUCUCUGGAGAAAACUAAGGAAUUCUAGUUGAAGAUCAAGUUAGUUUUUCCCUAUAAAUAAAGGAUUUUUCUGCAUUAUAAUUCAUAUCUAAAUAUAUCUCAAACGUGUAUAUCACUCCUGAGGAAUAAGAAGUCUUAUGUUUUCUUUUACUUUAUUAUUCUUAUUCUCAUUGAUUUAUAUAUUUGGUCCUUACUAGAAUUAAUAACACAAUGAGGACCAAAUUCAUUUUUGAAAAUGUAAAUUUAUUUUCUAACAUUAUUGAUAUGUCUGAAUGAACUAAAAAGCUAUUUGUAACAUUUUGAAAGGUGGAACAAUGAAAGCAUUCAUAACUGAUGGGCUUUUAUAUAAUUCUUGUCCGUUAAUAAACAUUAUUCCUAUAUAUAUAAUUUUACUGGAUAAAAAACUAAACAUGCAUCGAAAUUAAGGGUGACAAAAUAAGCAAUUUAUAUGAGUAUCUAUUUAAAUUAUUCAUUUUAAAGAAUUAGAUACUCAACUCAUUUAAAAUAGAUAAAAGGUAAGUCAGACUCAUAUUAUUCAUUUAAAAGUGGAUAAUUAAAUGAAUAAAAUAGCUAAAGAAAAGUGCAUUCAUCCAAAAAAAAAAAAGGGUGAUAUUAAUAUUUUUUUGAGGUGUAGUAAUCGGGGUAGAGAGGGUGGGAUAAGGAAAAAAUCUAAUUUUUCUCUGAAAAUAAUUUGUUUUUAAUUAGGGGUUGGAGAGUGGGGGCUGGUAGUGGGGGAGGGAGGUAGUGAUGGGGCCGAGUGGAGUUGGGGGCUCAGGGUAGUAAAAAAUAAAUUAUUUUUUGAGGCAUUGGAGUUAGGGGUGAGGGUAGAGCCGUUAAUAUGGACUACGGACGUUGGGCCGGUCUGUCCUAACUCGCGAUUUAAUAGGGCUGGGCUAAGAUUUUGUGGGGCUUAUAAUAUGAGUAGGACCAGCCCGUGGACCAAAUAAAAAUCAAUUAAGAAAUAAAAUUAAAAUAGAGUAUUAAAAAUAACAAGACUCCAAACUCAAAAAUUAUAUAAAAUUUUAAAUAUUAAAAUUUAAAUACAAAUUAUGUUUAUAAAAUAUGUAGUUAUGCAAUACUUAAAAUAAAAAUCCCUAAAAUUUCUAGGGAAUCUCCAUGUAGACCGUAACUUAUUUACCGGUAGUCAUCUUCUCUUGGUAUUUUCCAUUUUCUUAUAAACUACUGAUGAAAAUGGAGAUGUUAAGACAACCUACCACAAGUUGAUUCAAAUGUGCUUAAUGAAGAUGAUGUUUUGGCAUUAGAUACACCAUAAGUUUUAUGAAAUUUUUCUAAGAAGUUCAUUUAUCACUUUUUUAUGGAUGAAAUAAUGUCAUUUUUUUUGUGUUUUAUUUUGAUCAUUAAAAAAAAAAUUAAGUUAAUAUUUCUAUUUAGUUAUUUUUACUUUUACUUGAAAUCAAACUUAAUAAAUAUUCUAAAGAUAAUUUUAUUUGUGAAUUUGAUUAACAAGUAAUAACACUAUCACGUGUAAUGAUUUAAAAAAAAAUAGUAACACUAACACAUGUAAUAUUGUUUUGUCGAUAACUAUGAUAAUAUUUUUUAAUUAUAAUUUGAUUUAAAAAAUAUAAAAAUAUACUAUUUUAAAAAGUGGAUUGGCUCGGCACAACAUGUAGCCCACGUACUUGUGGGUUAGGUUGACCAUUUUCUAGCCCACAAGAAAAAUAAGUCAGCUCAGCAUGACCCGUCAAAUUUCAAAACAUGUAUGGCUUAGUCCGGAUAGGGCAAGUCAGUCCAUAUUAACAGCUCUAGGUGGAGGGUGGACAUGCAGGGGGGUUGGGUGCCGGGAGAGGGGUGGGGGUGAUAUAAAAAUAAUUUUUAAAAGUUCUACAUUUUUUUUUGUGUGUGAGGAAUGAAGAGUGAGGUAAGAGAUUUUGCUUUUGAAGCUUUUAACGUGAUCCUUAUUAUAACAUGAAUAUCUAUAUUUACUCAUAUUAUUCAUUUGUAACUCAUUUUAAUUCAUUUAAAAUAUGAGUCGAGUCGAGAUUUUAUCCAUUUUUAUUUAACUCAUUUUUGAUCGAUUUAUAUUUGAUUCGUUGUCACUCCUAAUUAAAAUAAAUAAUUAAAAAAAUAGAACAAUAAUGUUUUAUUAUACUUUUUACGAUAUAGUCAUUUAAAAAAAUCAAUUCAAACAUACAAUUCUCAUCCUUACCGUCAAAUAAUUAAUAAAUACUACAAUAUUAUUAAACCAGUCUAAAUGUUUCAACAGUUAAAAAAAUUUUGAGUUUUGUAAUUCGAUAAUCAUAUAUAUAUAAAAGAAAACCUUAGGCCUGCCUACGUGGCGCCAUCCAAACCAGAAUUCUCUUUUAAUUUUAUUUAUUUACAAAACUAGUCUUCUCCUUUCAUGAAAAGUUGCGAAAUUUAUGAAGAGUUGCGACUUUAAUGAAGAGUUGCGAUUUUUAUGAAGAGUUUUGACUUUUAUGAAAAAUUGUGAAUUUUAUGAAAGGUUGUGACCUUUUUCGAAGGGUUGCAACUUAUCCAAAUAGUUGUAAUAUUUCCGAUAAGGCACAAUAAACAUUUGUUCUCACUACCCUUUGUUGUCUAUAAAUAGAGGGAUUUCCUCUCAUUUUAAAACUACAAAAAUUCUGAACCUCUUCUUCUUCUUCUUUACAACUAAAUAUUUGUGUACUUUGCUCCUGUUGAGAGGCUCACUGACACUAUUGCUUAUGUUGCAGUUCCUGGUAUGUACUUUUACAGUCAUUAAUUUAUGCUUAUGUUAUUAAGGAUAAAUGAUAAGAUGUAAUAAUUUUCAUUUUCCUUUACAUUAUUGAUGUUUGUUACAACAUAAUCUUGUAUGUAAGAUAAUAUAGUGUUUUUUUGAAGCAUUAUUUUAUAAAUUUCAUGAUAUUAAAUUUCAGCGCGAAGCGCGGAUAAUUUUACUAGUCAGUAGUUAAAAGUGGAUAUCAAAUGUAAAAUUUUUAAAUUUUAGUUUGGUAAUUUGAUAAUCGGUAAAUUAAAUUUUGACUUUGUAUGGUUUUUAGUAAUAUCAUAUUAAAAUUGUAGCCGAUUGUAUUACAAAGUUAAUACUAUUUCUUUAACUAUUUCUAUUUUUUUUAUGCGGAGGAACAUAUAUUAGAAAAUCCACAAGUAAGAAGACAUCAAGAAAAACAAAUUGAUAUUUAUUAACUAAAUAAUUCGGUAUUCGAAAAAUACCGAAUACACAAUGUCACUAAUGUAUCAUACCAAAUCCAAACCCGAACACCAUAAUUUUAAAAUUUUGCUCCCUAAUACCAUACCGAAUUAUUGAAUAUAAAAUUACCAAAAAAAAAAUAGUUCGGUUUGAAAAUUCGAAUUUCAGUAUUUUACACCCAGCACUACCAAUCAAUAGGCUUGAUACACCUUUUAAGUUUGUCAUUUAGUAAAGUGGUGCAUUUAGGGAUGGGGGAUAAAUCGUCAACCUGAAUAAAAAAAAUCUUUCUUUCUUAAAAUUUAUGUACAAUCGAGGAAAAAAAUAGUAUUUUACUAGGUCAACAAAUUAAAGAUCUAUAUUUGGAUUUCCACUAAAUAUGUUCUCCAAUCCUUUGAUGAGUCUAUAUCAUAGGGAUAGAUAUGCUUUAGCUUCAUAAAAUGAUUCCAAUUAGACAUUAGGUAGAAAAGAUAAUUCUCUUCAAAUCAAGAAUUAAUAAUCCAUGAAAAUGGUCACUUUCUGACUCACAACUAGGGGUGUGUAUCGGUCGGUUCGGUUAUAAGUAUUAUCGGUUCGAUUUAUCGGUUUUCGGUUUUUAAAUAUGCUAAACCGAUAACCAAACUAAUAAGAUAUUUGUUAUCGGUUUUCAGUUUAUCGGUUUUAGGUCUUUAACGGUUCGGUUUUCGGUUUAACCAAUAAGAAAUGCUUUCAAAACAAAUAUAUGACUUAUCCAAUAAUUUGAUGCGAUAUGCAUACAUCGAAAUAAUCAUUCCAAACAGGACAACAAGGACCAACUUGUUGUAUUUUGGUCAUCACAACAAAGACUUGGUUAAUUUUCGAUCACCAUAAUAUAUAAAANNNNNNNNNNNNNNNNNNNNNNNNNNNNNNNNNNNNNNNNNNNNNNNNNNNNNNNNNNNNNNNNNNNNNNNNNNNNNNNNNNNNNNNNNNNNNNNNNNNNNNNNNNNNNNNNNNNNNNNNNNNNNNNNNNNNNNNNNNNNNNNNNNNNNNNNNNNNNNNNNNNNNNNNNNNNNNNNNNNNNNNNNNNNNNNNNNNNNNNNNNNNNNNNNNNNNNNNNNNNNNNNNNNNNNNNNNNNNNNNNNNNNNNNNNNNNNNNNNNNNNNNNNNNNNNNNNNNNNNNNNNNNNNNNNNNNNNNNNNNNNNNNNNNNNNNNNNNNNNNNNNNNNNNNNNNNNNNNNNNNNNNNNNNNNNNNNNNNNNNNNNNNNNNNNNNNNNNNNNNNNNNNNNNNNNNNNNNNNNNGACUUAAAUACUCCAUAUUAUCUAUUACAAUAAUUAACAAUUAUUUCACACUUUAAAUUCUAUCAAUGCCAUAUAAAUUAGGAUAAAAAAGGUAACAUAUAUAUUCAAAAAUAAUAUAAGUAAUACUAUACUUAGUAUGCUUUAAAAUAGUAAAAACUACAUAAAAAGUACUACAUACUAUAUUACAAUAAUUAACAAUUAUUUGACACUUUCAAUUCUAUCAAUGCCAUAUAAAUUAGGAUAAAAAAGGUAACAUAUAUAUUCAAAAAUAAUAUAAGUAAUACUAUACUUAGUAUGCUUUAAAAUAGUAAAAACUACAUAAAAAGUACUACAUACUAUAUUACAAUAAUUAACAAUUAUUUGACACUUUCAAUUCUAUCAAUGCCAUAUAAAUUAGGAUAAAAAAGGUAACAUAUAUAUUCAAAAAUAAUAUAAGUAAUACUAUACUUAGUAUGCUUUAAAAUAGUAAAAACUACAUAAAAAGUACUACAUACUAUAUUACAAUAAUUAACAAUUAUUUGACACUUUCAAUUCUAUCAAUGCCAUAUAAAUUAGGAUUAAAAAGGUAACAUAUAUAUUCAAAAAUAAUAUAAGUAAUACUAUACUUAGUAUGCUUUAAAAUAGUAAAAACUACAUAAAAAGUACUACAUACUAUAUUACAAUAAUUAACAAUUAUUUGACACUUUCAAUUCUAUCAAUGCCAUAUAAAUUAGGAUAAAAAAGGUAACAUAUAUAUUCAAAAAUAAUAUAAGUAAUACUAUACUUAGUAUGCUUUAAAAUAGUAAAAACUACAUAAAAAGUACUACAUACUAUAUUACAAUAAUUAACAAUUAUUUGACACUUUCAAUUCUAUCAAUGCCAUAUAAAUUAGGAUUAAAAAGGUAACAUAUAUAUUCAAAAAUAAUAUAAGUAAUACUAUACUUAGUAUGCUUUAAAAUAGUAAAAACUACAUAAAAAGUACUACAUACUAUAUUACAAUAAUUAACAAUUAUUUGACACUUUCAAUUCUAUCAAUGCCAUAUAAAUUAGGAUUAAAAAGGUAACAUAUAUAUUCAAAAAUAAUAUAAGUAAUACUAUACUUAGUAUGCUUUAAAAUAGUAAAAACUACAUAAAAAGUACUACAUACUAUAUUACAAUAAUUAACAAUUAUUUGACACUUUCAAUUCUAUCAAUGCCAUAUAAAUUAGGAUUAAAAAGGUAACAUAUAUAUUCAAAAAUAAUAUAAGUAAUACUAUACAUUACAAUAAUUAAUAGCUUAAAUAUUUAAAAGUUAUAUAAAAAAUAUAAUUGACUCUCUAAAUUCUAUUGGUACCACAUAAAAUGGAUUAUAUGAUAAACGUAUAUUGUUUGAAAUUGACGAAAAAGAAACUAUAAAUUACAAUAAUUAACAAAAAAAUUCGCUCGACUCCAACAAAUCUAUCAAUUAAUGCCACAUAAAUUGGGACAUGGGAAUCACAUAUAUUCUUUAAAAAUUAAGUUCAAAAUGUACUAUAAAAUACAAUAAUUAACAACUUAAUAUAGUAAAGAGACAUAUAAAAAAUAGUUAAUAUUUGAAAUUUUGCAUGUGCCACAUAAAUUAGAACAAAGAGAGUAAUAAAUAUUAUUUUCAAAAUUCUGUAAAAAAAGGUACUACAAAUCACAAUAGCUAACAAUUUAAAAUAUUUUUACAAUCAUAUAAAAAUUUCAAUAACUUCUCAAAUUUCAUAAUAUAUGACAUAAGAAGAGGGAAUAACCAAUAUAUUUAUAAAAAUAAAUGACAUAUAAAAUGAAAUGGAGAGAGUAUUAGUUUUUGAAAAUGGAAAAGGACAAAACACAUAUAAAAUUAAAACACAUAUAAAAAAAAGUUAGUUUAACUCUCAAACAUAAAAAGUAACAUAUGUUAUUAAAAACUUUAAUAAAAAGUACUAUAAUUUACAAUAAAUAAUAACUUAAAAUAUCUACAAGACAACAAAAAAAAGACUAAUUUUUGUACUGCUUGUGUCACAUAUAUUAGGAUUGGGAUGAUUUUAAAAUUUUAAUUUUGGUUAUACAUUAUAAAAUAGCCGAAAAAUUGAAUGAUAUAAUUUUUUUAAAAAUAAUCGAAUGAAUCGUCCUAUCGAUAACCCUAAUGUUACUUCUACUCUGUUUAUUUUUACUUAAAUUUAGAAAGAUAUGCUUCAUUUCUACCCUCAAUCUUAUUGCUACAUUUAUUUGCUAUUUAAAAUUGAAAUUAAAAAGACAAAUGACAAAUAAGUUUCUAUAUUAGCUCACUUAUGAGCAAAAUAUAUUAUAACAAUCUUUACUAUUUUUAUAACAAUACAUAAACUAUACUCCCUCCGUCCCAUAUUAGAUGGGCACUUCCAACUUUACACGGUGAUUAAGAAAUCAUUAAUACAUUGGAAGACUUCACCAUUUUGCCCUUUCUUUAUAUCAAUGCACAUUGAAAUGAGUUACAAAAAAUACACAUACAAUAUAGGAAUGGUCAUAUUAAUUGUAGGGGUAAAAUGGAAAAGAAUUAAUUAAUUCUAUCCUAAUUUAAUAAGUGCUCAAAUAAUAUGAAAAAAAAAAAUUUAGUAAGAUUCUCAUCUAAUAUGGGACGGAGAGAAUAACAAUAUAACUUUGUUAAUGUUGGGCCCGGGCAGCGCCCGGGCUUUCGUUACUAGUAUAUAUAUAUAUGUAUAUAUGUAUAUAUAUGUAUGUAUGUAUGUAUGAAAAGUUCACAUAUAUCUCUAUAUUUACAAAAGUGAUAAAAUUAAUUUUAAAUUAUUUAUUUUGAUUUUUAGUUUUUUUAAAUAAUAUAUAUAAACUUUUUCGAACAUAAAUUAUUUUUAAAUUCUUUUAUUAUUAUUUGAAUUUCUUAUUCUUAUUUAUUACUCCCUCCGUCCCAUUUUAUGUGGCAAUUUUUGGAUUUCGAGAUUCAAACAAGUUUAUCUUUGACCGUAAAUUUUUCAUAAAUCUUUUAAACAUUUUGAAUUAUCAAUUAUUGUGACUUAUAGUACUUUUUACAUAGUUUACAAAUAUAUAAAUUUUGUUUCAAAAAAAUUGAAGAUUCCAUGUGCAAAUUCCCGGUCAAACUUAAACUGUUUGACUCUCAAAAAACGAAAAGUGUCACAUAAAUUGGGACAGAGGGAGUAUUAUUUUGAGUAAAAAUGUUCUUAAGCAAUGUAAAAUGAGUAAGUGUGUUGGUUAAAUAAUACUCCCUCAUUUUCAAAAAAAGUGGUCUAGUUUGACUUGACACGAAAUUUAAGAAAAUAAAAAAGACUUUUGAAUCUUGAGUCCUAAAUUAAAGUUAUGUUAAAUGUACAAAAUUGCACUUUAAUCUUGUGGCCUUAAACAUGCCAUGUGGAAAGCUGAAAUUAAAAUGUUAUUAAUAAAGAAAAGAGGUCAUUCUUUUUUAAACAAACUAAAAAAGAAAGUGGGUCAUUUUAUUUUUUUGAAAUAGAGGGAGUAUAUAUGAUAAGACUAGACUAACGUUUGGCCAUAGAUUUCCAAAUAUUCUUGACAAAUAUUAUUUGGGUGAAAUUUCACCAUGUGUUUGGCCAUAGUAUUUGGGAAAUAUAUUUCACUUUUUUAGAAAAAUAUGAUUUAUACCCAUAAGGUUUAAAAACUAUCAAAACUAACCAUAAAUUUGUAUUACAAGUCAAUUGGAUCUUCGUUGCAACAAAUAACAAGUAGUGUCCAUGACACUAGAGCAAUGUGGUCGUUUGGAGUGAGUGCAACAAGAUCAUUUCAUACAUCGUGUAGUAGACAAAGCACAUGAUUUUGUUACCCUGAGCCGAUUGUUUAUCAUUUUCAUCAACAACCAUAUCAUCACUUUCAUAUUCACUGAAUAUUUCAUCACUACUUUGGUGUUCACGUAAAAAAUUAUGUAAUACAACGCAAACAACUACUAUAGAGGGUGUUUUUGUAAAAAAUAAAAGUUUGGUGUAAAUUUCAAUUUUCAAAAGAUCCCAAAUAAUGAGAGUUGACCCAAAUACUAAAAAAAACUAGUAUUUGGGAAUUUGAGAUAUUUACCAAAUAAUGACAAAAUAUAUGGACAAACACUAUUUACCAAAUUUUUCCCCAAAUAAUAUUUGGGAAAUCUAUGGCCAAACAGGCCCCUGAGUACCACACUAUAGUUUGUUGAACUUUCAUUUUUUUCUUUUUUAUCUUAUAGCUCGGCGGUAGGUAUUAGAUAAUUUAUUCAUUAAAACAAGGACAGAUAGAAAAAGUCCACCUAGUUUUUUUUUUUUUUUUUUUAUCUCAUGUGACUUAAAUCUAAAAUUAUAUACUAAUUCUUAACUCAUUUCAUUAAAUUCUUAAAAUUUUCAACUUCUUUUGGUUAGCUUAUCGCUUUAUUAGUUUGUGCUAGUUCCACAAUUAUAGAAAUAAAUGCAUCAUUUGUAAUUCAUCCAUUUCAUUUUACUUUAACUCCUAUACUGAAAAUAGAUAGAUAUCUCAUUCCGUACUUUGCAGCUCAACUAAUCUAAAUUUAUGCAAAAAUAUUUUCCUCUGCUAAAUAAUGUGUAAAAGCAUGGAAUACACUAUUAAAAACUAGUUUAGAUAUUUAUGCACCGUCAACACUUAAUAUUUAUUCCAAUUUAUUAAAAGAGCUCAGAGAGAAGGUGAGGAGGUCACUGGUCAGCAUAUUUUCUGCAUGCUCACUGAAGUGAAAUAUGAUACCUAGUUGAGAUAGCAGACACCUCGUGAAAUAAUUGAAACGCGCCCAUGUCGACCUGUACACCAUCAGUAUUAAAAAGAGAAGAAAAACAUACAGAACCAUCCUGGUACAGAUCUUGCACAAAACAUAAACAACAAGCCAAAUGCACAUUUGAUAGUAGGUUGCUAACUAUUAUAACAAACACUUGUAACCUCCAAACACGAAAGAUAACAUCGAUCAAAGGGUGUUUUUAACAGAACCAAAGAUACGAUUCUACUACAUCCACGAAACGUGACGACACCAUUAAAGUUGCGGAUCACAAAACGACAUAAUACGAAAGGUUUUAGUAUAACAUGAAAGUACAUAAGCAUGUUCUCUAGAAUUUGCAGAUUCAUUCACAAUAAGGCUGUGCAUUUCAGUAAAACUUCUUCUCUUUCAAGCUUUCAGCAGUUUCCUUGAGGCUUUCAGCCAAGGGAAUGAAUUCAAUACCCAAUUUUUUGGCUCUUUCAAUGUUAACCUGGUACAUUGGCGUAAAUGGCUUAUCAUCAGCACACCUGGAGAGUUUAACCGAAAACUUUGAGCCAAGAAAACAAUUUCUAGUAAACCAUAUGAAAUC
Molecule: long non-coding RNA, 17855 nt
Filed under: Solanum tuberosum (potato)
Lineage: Eukaryota; Viridiplantae; Streptophyta; Magnoliopsida; Solanales; Solanaceae
Description: long non-coding RNA (STUB_LNC001265)
Rfam family: MIR8007 microRNA precursor family (bases 15492-15716)
Source: RNAcentral